GACGAACGCUGGCGGCGUGCCUAAUAUAUGCAAGUAGAACGCUGAAGCUUGGUGCUUGCACCGAGCGGAUGAGUUGCGAACGGGUGAGUAACGCGUAGGUAACCUGCCUGGUAGCGGGGGAUAACUAUUGGAAACGAUAGCUAAUACCGCAUAAGAGUAGAUGUUGCAUGACAUUUGCUUAAAAGGUGCAAUUGCAUCACUACCAGAUGGACCUGCGUUGUAUUAGCUAGUUGGUGAGGUAACGGCUCACCAAGGCAACGAUACAUAGCCGACCUGAGAGGGUGAUCGGCCACACUGGGACUGGGACACGGCCCAGACUCCUACGGGAGGCAGCAGUAGGGAAUCUUCGGCAAUGGACGGAAGUCUGACCGAGCAACGCCGCGUGAGUGAAGAAGGGUUUCGGAUCGUAAAGCUCUGUUGUAAGAGAAGAACGAGUGUGAGAGUGGAAAGUUCACACUGUGACGGUAUCUUACCAGAAAGGGACGGCUAACUACGUG
RNAcentral lists this ribosomal RNA (497 nucleotides) under uncultured bacterium. RNAcentral's name for it is "partial 16S ribosomal RNA". It matches the Rfam family "Bacterial small subunit ribosomal RNA", at positions 28 to 507 of the family's 1533-position model. The record is from RNAcentral.